CCGAUUGAAUGAUUUAGUGAGGUCUUCGGACCGACACGCGGUGGCUUCACGGCCGUUGGCCUUGCUGGGAAGUUGACCAAACUUGAUCAUUUAGAGGAAGUAAAAGUCGUAACAAGGUUUCCGCAGGAGAACCUGCGGAAGGAUCAUUA
RNAcentral lists this ribosomal RNA (149 nucleotides) under Nymphalis urticae (small tortoiseshell). RNAcentral describes it as "Aglais urticae (small tortoiseshell) partial 18S ribosomal RNA". It matches the Rfam family "Eukaryotic small subunit ribosomal RNA", at positions 1685 to 1831 of the family's 1831-position model. The record is from RNAcentral. Lineage: Eukaryota; Metazoa; Arthropoda; Insecta; Lepidoptera; Nymphalidae.